RNAcentral lists this small RNA (83 nucleotides) under Marmota monax (woodchuck). The record is from RNAcentral. Lineage: Eukaryota; Metazoa; Chordata; Mammalia; Rodentia; Sciuridae.
GCUGGGUGUGGUGGUGCACACCUGUAAUCCCAGUGACUUGGGAGGCUGAGGCAGAAGGAUCACGAGUUCAAAACCAGCCUCAG